This 20-nucleotide microRNA is filed under the name Monodelphis domestica (gray short-tailed opossum). RNAcentral describes it as "mdo-miR-7250-3p". Lineage: Eukaryota; Metazoa; Chordata; Mammalia; Didelphimorphia; Didelphidae. The record is from miRBase by way of RNAcentral.
UGGCCCCAGGAGAGGAUGGA